Molecule: ribosomal RNA, 521 nt
Filed under: uncultured Glomeraceae
Lineage: Eukaryota; Fungi; Glomeromycota; Glomeromycetes; Glomerales; Glomeraceae
Description: SSU rRNA
Rfam family: Eukaryotic small subunit ribosomal RNA
Source: RNAcentral
AGCAGCCGCGGUAAUUCCAGCUCCAAUAGCGUAUAUUAAAGUUGUUGCAGUUAAAAAGCUCGUAGUUGAAUUUCGAGACCGGUCUACUGGUCGUGCUUUUGUACGUUCUGGUAUAAUCGGUUUCUCUCUUCUGACGAACUAUAAUGCCAUUAAUUUGGUGUUUUAGGGAAUCAGGACUGUUACUUUGAAAAAAUUAGAGUGUUUAAAGCAGGCUCACGCUUGAAUACAUUAGCAUGGAAUAACGAAAUAGGACGUUUGAUUCUAUUUUGUUGGUUUCUAGGAUCGACGUAAUGAUUAAUAGGGAUAGUUGGGGGCAUUAGUAUUCAAUUGUCAGAGGUGAAAUUCUUGGAUUUAUUGAAGACUAACUACUGCGAAAGCAUUUGCCAAGGAUGUUUUCAUUAAUCAAGAACGAAAGUUAGGGGAUCGAAGACGAUCAGAUACCGUCGUAGUCUUAACCAUAAACUAUGCCGACUAGGGAUCGGAUGAUGUUAAUUUUUUAAUGACUCAUUCGGCGCCUUACG